RNAcentral lists this ribosomal RNA (507 nucleotides) under uncultured bacterium. Its description in RNAcentral is "bacterial SSU rRNA". It matches the Rfam family "Bacterial small subunit ribosomal RNA", at positions 791 to 1297 of the family's 1533-position model. The record is from RNAcentral.
UAGUCCACGCCGUAAACGAUGUCUACUAGCCGUUGGGGAACUUGAUUCCUUAGUGGCGCAGCUAACGCACUAAGUAGACCGCCUGGGGAGUACGGCCGCAAGGUUAAAACUCAAAUGAAUUGACGGGGGCCCGCACAAGCGGUGGAGCAUGUGGUUUAAUUCGAUGCAACGCGAAGAACCUUACCAGGUCUUGACAUCCUGCGAAUUUUCUAGAGAUAGAUUAGUGCCUUCGGGAACGCAGUGACAGGUGCUGCAUGGCUGUCGUCAGCUCGUGUCGUGAGAUGUUGGGUUAAGUCCCGUAACGAGCGCAACCCUUGUCCUUAGUUGCCAGCACAUUAUGGUGGGAACUCUAAGGAGACUGCCGGUGACAAACCGGNGGAAGGUGGGACGACGUCAAGUCAUCAUGGCCCUUAUGGGUAGGGCUACACACGUGCUACAAUGGUCGGUACAAAGGGUUGCCAAGCCGCGAGGUGGAGCUAAUCUCAUAAAACCCGNUCGUAGUCCGGA